GUUAAGAGUUAAGAAUGGCAAAAUGGAGUGCGAUAGUUUUAAUAAUGAUGGUGGUGAUCGCUGUUGCGGUAACAGUAGAAGCGAAUAAAAAAAAAAUGUUUUCACAAAUGUUGUAAACCUUGUAAGCCUCACCACGGUAAUUGUUUUAAACAUUGUAAAGCUAAAUGUGGUGACACAAACCCUCAUCAUGGUCCAGGAGGACAUCAUCAUGGUCGAGGAGGACCCCCUCCUCCCCCUAGACAGAACUUUACAUGAAAUGCACCUGUGGAAGUUCGUGGAAGAAAAAAUAAUUAGAAGAAGUUAUAUAGAAAGUUUGUGAUAAUUUCUAUAGUCUUAAUUUCUUGUUAAAAUCGAAUAAAAAUAU
Long non-coding RNA from Brassica napus (rape), 364 nucleotides. RefSeq lists it as uncharacterized. The transcript has 2 exons. The record is from RefSeq and is a predicted model, not a curated record. Lineage: Eukaryota; Viridiplantae; Streptophyta; Magnoliopsida; Brassicales; Brassicaceae.